Long non-coding RNA from Gracilinanus agilis (Agile Gracile Mouse Opossum), 387 nucleotides. RefSeq lists it as uncharacterized. The transcript is spliced from 2 exons. The record is from RefSeq and is a predicted model, not a curated record. Lineage: Eukaryota; Metazoa; Chordata; Mammalia; Didelphimorphia; Didelphidae.
UCUCCCCAGUCUCCCAGGCUGCAGUCCCGUCCUUUUAGUUUCCUUUCUGGCAGUUUUAGCUUUGAUCCUCCUCGGCCUCCUUCCUGUGAUAUAGGAGGCGGCCAUGGAAAGAAACACGGAAGCAUUUCGGAGGAGAGCUCAGAUCUCGGGAAAUGAAUUCAUCACAGCCAGCAUUUCUAUGGCCUUCAGGGAUUCAUCACCAUUACCUUACUGGGUUGAUGCUCCAUUUUACAGAUGGGGAAAGUAAGGCAGAGAUGCAGUGACUUCUCCAGAGUCACACAACCACCAGUUGUCUCAGGUGGGAUUCCACCUCAGAUCUUCUUGAUUCUAUCCACAUUUCCCUUUAUUUCCAGGGGUUCAAAUAAAGGUACUGUGGAGUCAAACCUA